GGGUAUGGGUAAAAUCAACUGAUCCUUGGAAGACCACCAGUGGCGAAGGCGCCUGACCAAUACGCAUCCGACGAUGAGGGACGAAAGCUGGGAUAACGAACCGGAUUAGAUACCCGGGUAGCCCUAGCUGUAAAUCAUGCAGACCUGACGUUGCAAUGACUUAGUGUCAUUGCUGCGCCGAAGGGAAACCGAUAAGUCUGCCGCCUGGGGAGUACGGUCGCAAGAUUGAAACUUAAAGGAAUUGGCGGGGGAGCACUACAAGGGGUGAGACCUACGGUUUAAUUGGAGUCAACGCCGGAA
This 300-nucleotide ribosomal RNA is filed under the name uncultured archaeon. RNAcentral's name for it is "bacterial SSU rRNA". It matches the Rfam family "Archaeal small subunit ribosomal RNA", at positions 624 to 923 of the family's 1478-position model. The record is from RNAcentral.